RNAcentral lists this ribosomal RNA (245 nucleotides) under Escherichia coli. RNAcentral describes it as "partial 23S ribosomal RNA". It matches the Rfam family "Bacterial large subunit ribosomal RNA", at positions 144 to 427 of the family's 2925-position model. The record is from RNAcentral. Lineage: Bacteria; Pseudomonadati; Pseudomonadota; Gammaproteobacteria; Enterobacterales; Enterobacteriaceae.
CACACUAUCAUUAACUGAAUCCAUAGGUUAAUGAGGCGAACCGGGGGAACUGAAACAUCUAAGUACCCCGAGGAAAAGAAAUCAACCGAGAUUCCCCCAGUAGCGGCGAGCGAACGGAGAGGAGCCCAGAGCCUGAAUCAGUGUGUGUGUUAGUGGAAGCGUCUGGAAAGGCGCGCGAUACAGGGUGACAGCCCCGUACACAAAAAUGCACAUACUGUGAGCUCGAUGAGUAGGGCGGGACACGU